CCUACGGGUGGCAGCAGUGGGGAAUAUUGCACAAUGGGGGAAACCCUGAUGCAGCGACGCCGCGUGAGUGAAGAAGUAAUUCGUUACGUAAAGCUCUAUCAGCAGGGAAGAAAUACUGACCUUACGGUCAGCAGACGGUACCUGAGUAAGAAGCCCCGGCUAACUACGUGCCAGCAGCCGCGGUAAUACGUAGGGGGCAAGCGUUAUCCGGAUUUAUUGGGUGUAAAGGGAGCGUAGACGGUUCGCCAGGUCUGGAGUGAAAUGCCGCAGCUUAAGGGGGGAACCGCUUUGGAAACGGGCGGGAGGGAGUGGGGUAGGGGAGACGGGAAAUCACGGUGGAAGGGGGGAAGGGGGAGAUGUAGGGAGGAAC
RNAcentral lists this ribosomal RNA (370 nucleotides) under uncultured bacterium. RNAcentral's name for it is "partial 16S ribosomal RNA". It matches the Rfam family "Bacterial small subunit ribosomal RNA", at positions 338 to 707 of the family's 1533-position model. The record is from RNAcentral.